This 487-nucleotide ribosomal RNA is filed under the name uncultured bacterium. RNAcentral describes it as "partial 16S ribosomal RNA". It matches the Rfam family "Bacterial small subunit ribosomal RNA", at positions 30 to 507 of the family's 1533-position model. The record is from RNAcentral.
CGAACGCUGGCGGCGUGCUUAACACAUGCAAGUCGAACGGUGAAGGGAUCAGCUUGCUGGUUCUGGAUGAGUGGCGAACGGGUGAGUAACACGUGAGUAACCUGCCCCCUUCUUCUGGAUAACCGCAUGAAAGUGUGGCUAAUACGGGAUAUUCUGCGCCUGCUGCAUGGUGGGUGUGGGAAAGAUAUUGUUUCGGUGGGGGAUGGGCUCGCGGCCUAUCAGCUUGUUGGUGGGGUGAUGGCCUACCAAGGCGGUGACGGGUAGCCGGCCUGAGAGGGUGGACGGUCACACUGGGACUGAGACACGGCCCAGACUCCUACGGGAGGCAGCAGUGGGGAAUAUUGCACAAUGGGCGCAAGCCUGAUGCAGCGACGCCGCGUGAGGGAUGGAGGCCUUCGGGUUGUGAACCUCUUUCGCCAGUGAAGCAGGCCUGUCCCUUGUGGGUGGGUUGACGGUAGCUGGAUAAGAAGCGCCGGCUAACUACGUG